This 253-nucleotide ribosomal RNA is filed under the name uncultured bacterium. RNAcentral describes it as "partial 16S ribosomal RNA". It matches the Rfam family "Bacterial small subunit ribosomal RNA", at positions 524 to 776 of the family's 1533-position model. The record is from RNAcentral.
GACAGAGGGGGCAAGCGUUGCUCGGAAUUACUGGGCGUAAAGGGCGCGUAGGCGGGAUGGCAAGUCGGUCGUGAAAUCCCUCGGCUCAACCGAGGAACGUCGAUCGAUACUGCUGUUCUUGAGGAUUGCAGAGGAGACUGGAAUUCCCGGUGUAGCGGUGAAAUGUGUAGAGAUCGGGAGGAACACCGGUGGCGAAGGCAGGUCUCUGGGCCAUUACUGACACUGAGAAGCGAAAGCAUGGGGAGCGAACAGG